Long non-coding RNA from Quercus robur (English oak), 877 nucleotides. RefSeq lists it as uncharacterized. The record is from RefSeq and is a predicted model, not a curated record. The transcript has 2 exons. Lineage: Eukaryota; Viridiplantae; Streptophyta; Magnoliopsida; Fagales; Fagaceae.
AGUUCCUAUAUUUUAAGAGCAAUUAAUUUGAUCCCUGCUAUUUUCAAGUCACAAUUAAUUUGGUCUCUACUGUUAAAUGACUAACGGAAUCUGCUUAGGUGGCAAACGGAAUACACACAUGACAUAAAUUAAAUUAAAAUAUAAAUAGUGCUUACAUGUCAGUCUUCCACGUCAGCUUUCUCUACUGUUAAAAUCGCACGUGAGUCUCACAUGACUCACUUAUCAGCAACAUCAUCCUCACUGGGCAACAACACAGACACGAUUGAAUACUUAAUCCCAAAAUGAAAUUUUGAACCCUAACCCCUUCUUCUUCAUAGCCAUUAUCACAGUCUCACAGACAUGAUGAACAAGGCUCCUCAAUGAACAUGAACUCCUUCUUCUUCAUAGCCACAUCUCUUCUCACCUAAUCCCCAAGAUCAAAGCUCCUCUCAUCUCGCCGAUUCCAUUGCCGAUUCCCAAUUGAGCUCUCGACCCUCAAAGAAACGAAGAAACAGAGAACCCAAACAGCAGGUUGUUUGCUAAUGAAAAAAUUUUCAAUGACUUAAUGAAGAGAUAUAUGAGCGCGACAAGCAAGACAAUGUGCUUAUAUAGCAGAGGCAGAGAGAUUAUCACACUUCAAGUUGCAAAUUGUUAAAGAGGAAAAAGGUUUUGACAAUGUGUUUGGCAGUGUCAUUGGUAAUAUAUGGGAUCGGCAUUUGUGUGAUCGUAGUUUUGGUGGGUUAAAGGGCUGGGUUUAUUGUACUUAAACUAAGAGAAAAAAAUUAAGAAAAGUUUUUGAUGUAGUGGAGUGUUUUUUGUAAAUGUGCUUCCAAGUAUCAAUGCAUCUGCUGGUUAUGUCUGAUAAUUUUGCUGGUUCUGUCAGAUAUAUUUAAGGUUU